This 478-nucleotide ribosomal RNA is filed under the name uncultured bacterium. Its description in RNAcentral is "bacterial SSU rRNA". It matches the Rfam family "Bacterial small subunit ribosomal RNA", at positions 29 to 506 of the family's 1533-position model. The record is from RNAcentral.
UUGAACGCUGGCGGCAUGCUUUACACAUGCAAGUCGAACGGUAGAGGGCUUCGGCCCUUGGGAGUGGCGAACGGGUGAGUAAUGCAUCGGAACAUACCCAGUCGUGGGGGAUAACGUAGCGAAAGCGUGGCUAAUACCGCAUACGCCCUGAGGGGGAAAGCGGGGGACCUUCGGGCCUCGCGCGAUUGGAGCGGCUGAUGCCGGAUUAGCUGGUUGGUGGGGUAAAGGCCUACCAAGGCGACGAUCCGUAGCUGGUCUGAGAGGAUGAUCAGCCACACUGGGACUGAGACACGGCCCAGACUCCUACGGGAGGCAGCAGUGGGGAAUUUUGGACAAUGGGCGCAAGCCUGAUCCAGCCAUGCCGCGUGAGUGAAGAAGGCCUUCGGGUUGUAAAGCUCUUUCAGACGGAAAGAAAUCGGGCGGGUGAAUAGCCUGCCUGGAUGACGGUACUGUCAGAAGAAGCACCGGCUAACUACGU